This 253-nucleotide ribosomal RNA is filed under the name uncultured bacterium. RNAcentral's name for it is "partial 16S ribosomal RNA". It matches the Rfam family "Bacterial small subunit ribosomal RNA", at positions 102 to 353 of the family's 1533-position model. The record is from RNAcentral.
ACGGGUGAGUAACGCGUGGGUAACCUGCCUCAUACAGGGGGAUAACAGUUAGAAAUGACUGCUAAUACCGCAUAAGCGCACAGUGCCGCAUGGCACAGUGUGAAAAACUCCGGUGGUAUGAGAUGGACCCGCGUCUGAUUAGCUAGUUGGUGGGGUAACGGCCUACCAAGGCGACGAUCAGUAGCCGGCCUGAGAGGGUGAACGGCCACAUUGGGACUGAGACACGGCCCAAACUCCUACGGGAGGCAGCAUG